Long non-coding RNA from Onychostoma macrolepis, 417 nucleotides. RefSeq lists it as uncharacterized. The transcript has 5 exons. Lineage: Eukaryota; Metazoa; Chordata; Actinopteri; Cypriniformes; Cyprinidae. The record is from RefSeq and is a predicted model, not a curated record.
UUGCUUUCCGCUCUACAUUGGACAUUCGGCGGACAUUCGCAACCAACAGAAAGAAGCCAGAGGCUCGCAAAACUGGGGGAGGACCUGCACCACCACCACUCACAAAUGCAGAGGAGAUGGCCCUGAGCCUGAACACUGGAAGGCCAGUGGCUGAGGGAAUGCCAGGAGGGAUACAAGUGCCUUCAUAAAAUAUUCGGAUGGUAAUAUCUGCCUUUUGGAGCCUCCUGUCAUAACAGAACCCCAGGCAGUUGAAUUUGAGGAUGAUGAAACCACUUCUGCCACAGAGAGGCCUACAGAGAGUGUGGAAGAACAGCAGGAGGAGGGUCCAUCAAAUUCUGCUGCACAGAUGAACACAGUUCUGUAAAUGCCAGUUUAAUUCUGUACAAUUCAUGAAGAACUACGAAAUAUAACAACUGG